This 306-nucleotide unclassified non-coding RNA is filed under the name plant metagenome. RNAcentral describes it as "partial contains 5.8S ribosomal RNA, internal transcribed spacer 2, and large subunit ribosomal RNA". The stretch from base 1 to 106 matches the Rfam family "5.8S ribosomal RNA", at positions 49 to 154 of the family's 154-position model. The record is from RNAcentral.
CGAAAUGCGAUAAGUAAUGUGAAUUGCAGAAUUCAGUGAAUCAUCGAAUCUUUGAACGCACAUUGCGCCCGCCAGUAUUCUGGCGGGCAUGCCUGUUCGAGCGUCAUUUCAACCAUCAAGCCCCCGGCUUGUGUUGGGGACCUGCGGCUGCCCGCAGGCCCUGAAAAACAGUGGCGGGCUCGCUGUCACACCGAGCGUAGUAGCAUACAUUCUCGCUCAGGGCGUGCUGCGGGUUCCGGCCGUUAAACGACCUUCAUAACCCAAGGUUGACCUCGGAUCAGGUAGGAAGACCCGCUGAACUUAAGC